This is a transfer RNA of Acetobacter orientalis, 88 nucleotides long. It matches the Rfam family "tRNA". From Rfam's summary of the family: Transfer RNA (tRNA) molecules are approximately 80 nucleotides in length. Their secondary structure includes four short double-helical elements and three loops (D, anti-codon, and T loops). The record is from Rfam. Lineage: Bacteria; Pseudomonadati; Pseudomonadota; Alphaproteobacteria; Acetobacterales; Acetobacteraceae.
GGAGAGAUGGCCGAGUGGCUUAAGGCGCACGCUUGGAAAGCGUGUGUACGUUAAUAGCGUACCCAGGGUUCGAAUCCCUGUCUCUCCG